Non-coding RNA from Hordeum vulgare subsp. vulgare (domesticated barley), 136 nucleotides. NCBI's taxonomy places the organism in Eukaryota, Viridiplantae, Streptophyta, Magnoliopsida, Poales, Poaceae. The record is from Rfam.
CAAUUACUCCAUGCGUUCCAAAAAAUUUGUCUUAGUUUUAUCUAGAAAUGGAUGUAUCUAAAUACUAAUGCGUGACUAGAUACAUUCAUAUCUAGAUAAAUCAAAGACAAGAAUUUUGAGACGGAGAGAGUAUUUG